Molecule: ribosomal RNA, 380 nt
Filed under: uncultured Actinomycetes bacterium
Lineage: Bacteria; Bacillati; Actinomycetota; Actinomycetes
Description: bacterial SSU rRNA
Rfam family: Bacterial small subunit ribosomal RNA
Source: RNAcentral
GGGAAGAAGCGAAAGUGACGGUACCUAAAGAAGAAGCACCGGCUAACUAUGUGCCAGCAGCCGCGGUAAUACAUAGGGUGCAAGCGUUGUCCGGAAUUAUUGGGCGUAAAGAGCUCGUAGGUCGUUUGCCACGUCGGAUGUGAAAACCUGAGGCUCAACCUCAGGCCUGCAUUCGAUACGAGCAAACUAGAGUUUGGUAGGGGAGACUGGAAUUCCUGGUGUAGCGGUGGAAUGCGCAGAUAUCAGGAGGAACACCAACAGCGAAGGCAGGUCUCUGGGCCAAUACUGACACUGAGGAGCGAAAGUCUGGGGAGCGAACAGGAUUAGAUACCCUGGUAGUCCAGACCGUAAACGGUGGGCACUAGUUGUGGGAACCUUCC